UACGGAGGGUGCAAGCGUUGUCCGGAUUUAUUGGGUUUAAAGGGUGCGUAGGCGGCUCAAUAAGUCAGUGGUGAAAGCCUGUUGCUUAACGAUAGGAUUGCCAUUGAUACUGUUGAGCUUGAGUACUGAUGAGGUAGGCGGAAUUGACAGUGUAGCGGUGAAAUGCAUAGAUAUUGUCAAGAACUCCGAUUGCGAAGGCAGCUUACUAAGGAGUAACUGACGCUGAGGCACGAAAGCGUGGGGAUCAAACAGG
Molecule: ribosomal RNA, 253 nt
Filed under: uncultured bacterium
Lineage: Bacteria
Description: partial 16S ribosomal RNA
Rfam family: Bacterial small subunit ribosomal RNA
Source: RNAcentral